UUUCCCCUGCGGUGUUCGUCAGGCCCAUAAUUCUUUGAACCCAUAAGCUUUGCUUAGGUCGCGAUCCUUGAUGUUACUGUUGUGCGCGUUCCAUGCGAACGUACCUGAUGUAACUGGCAAGCGGCCCUCUUGAACCCAGGUUCAAGAUAUUGGGCCAACGGCACAGGCGGGGGUCUU
This 177-nucleotide non-coding RNA is filed under the name Gallionellaceae bacterium. Its description in RNAcentral is "6S RNA". It matches the Rfam family "6S / SsrS RNA". Rfam says of the family: E. coli 6S RNA was the first non coding RNA to be sequenced, but its function was unknown until recently. Lineage: Bacteria; Pseudomonadati; Pseudomonadota; Betaproteobacteria; Nitrosomonadales; Gallionellaceae. The record is from RNAcentral.